RNAcentral lists this long non-coding RNA (503 nucleotides) under Bos taurus (domestic cattle). RNAcentral's name for it is "long non-coding RNA NONBTAT015347". The record is from RNAcentral. Lineage: Eukaryota; Metazoa; Chordata; Mammalia; Artiodactyla; Bovidae.
CUUUGUCUAUACAUUUCCUAGAUUUCUAUGCAGUUGAGAUUUCUCAUUUCUCUUGUACGGAUGGCCAAAACAAAACAAGAAUGCAUUGCUUUUGAGCCUCUGGUCUCCUGGUUCAACAACAGGCUUAUCUGUAUGAUACAUGUAAUUUAAACCUUCAAACAAUCAAAAGGAAAAUCUUGAUGUGUGCGACAGUGGCUGCCGAAGCGGCUGGCCCUGCACAGUCCACACUCUAAACCGCUCUGUGUAGUAUCAUUCACUGGUAAAAUGUUCCACCUUCACAGUAAGGGAGAAUCCGAUUCCCAAGCAGUGUGUAUAUAUGUAAUAAACACUUCCACGUACACACACCAACGCAGUGCUUGUCCAAAUAAAAAUCGGAGUGGAAGAGAGAGGAAGAGGUAAACCAUAUGAAACUGAGAAAAUGUGACAUACGAAGUGGACAAAGAGCUUUUUCUUUAAAAACAGAAACUUUUUUACUCCAUCAUACGUUUUUAGCCUGUUGCUUC